CACAUGCAUGCUUGGAGCAAUGUUUAAGCGAGGCUUGGAGACUCCCCAGAUGACACUGCAUUUAUAUCACCUGUGGAGGAUGCUGCUGAGGAGACGCCUUCUAUGCAGUCUACAUCUUAGACCUGUGUGAGAUGAAACUGCUCCCUCUAUCACAGUGCAAGUGCAUGGGCAUUCUGUAUCUUCAGGAUCCUCAUUGUCUCAUCAGUGAUUCUUUUGGCUGAAUCCUGACUGAAGCCAGAAGACAUGGGUGCCUGGGAAAUGCAGUAUCAAAAUUCAACAUCCUUGAAAUAUAAACCAAAGCAGGGAAGGGCGAAGUAAAUCCCAGGGCAAACAAGCCCAGAACUAACACUGUGGAGCAG
This is a long non-coding RNA of Heterocephalus glaber (naked mole-rat), 359 nucleotides long. The record is from Ensembl. NCBI's taxonomy places the organism in Eukaryota, Metazoa, Chordata, Mammalia, Rodentia, Bathyergidae.